AGCUCCUUCUCCCAGGCAUGGCCAAUCUCUGGGAGAGAGGGGCCGAAGAAGUGGGUCUCAGGGCGAUGUCACCGGCCGACUGGGCAGGCGGGCACUGGGCCCGAGGCAGGCAGAGGCCUGGUGUGGGAGGAGCAGGGAGCACACACAGGCCGUGCCAUAAAUAGCCCGGGCUGGCUGCGCUGUCUGUCCCAGGAAGGCGGCCUCAGGCCGGCGUGGGCAUUAGGGAAGAGCUGGAAAACAGAGUGAGGCUCGAGCCCUCCAACACUGAGCCCACCCUGGAGCUGAUGACCCGCAGGGUUGAAAAGGGAUCGCCCAGGUCGUGGGAGCCAACCUGCAGUUUCACAGCCAGGCUCCGGCGGCCUGGGCUCUGACCCCACAGGGAGGGCCUGUGGGUGCCCGGCGAUUUUUCCUGCCCUCCCAAAUGCCACCGGUCAAGCUUCUGCCUCCCACACCCAAGGAAAGGGUCCACAGUAGGAGCGAAUGGCUAAGAAGGCUCCAUUCCACGAGGCUUUCCUUCUAGGUGUUCUCCAGAAGACAGACUUCGGCCUGGGGAGAGAGGGCUCAGCCCACGAGCAGCCAUAGAAACUCCCCGUGCCCACCACGGGUCUGACCCCCCCAUCUCCCAUCCUUACCUGCCAACGUUAGAGGGGUCCCAGGUGGGGAGUGAGGAGGAGGAAGUGGCCCAUUCAGGCACAUUGGGGUAACAAGACUACUUACAUUUGGGAAGAUAAGCAGGAUAACAAGGAGAAAGAGAACUUCAAACCCGGCCCCCCACUGUCCCUUGUGCUGGCCACCUAUACACCCUUUCUCUCUAGAACCGUCUACUCCACCCCGCCACCGCCUGAGAGUCCCUAACCCUGACACACUCCUGUAAGGAUCAUCAAGCCCUAGAGUACCAGGGACCUUGGUCCAAUCUCUCCUCGCUUUACAAGGAAACUGAGGCCCAGAUACAGGAGAGACUUCCCGUAGACCUUCCUUCUCCCCUCGCUUUUUCCUGCUCUUUCUUUUCCUAUUUUUUUUUUUUUUCUUUCUUAAAAACCCCAAGCAGGAAGAGAGCUGGGGAGCGCGGACAGGAACGGACAGGAGAUGAAGACGCAGGUAACACUUUUAGGCUCCAGCCCUUGAGGACACCAGGUAAGCUGGUCCUGCCACAGGCCCUUCUCCUGGAUUUCUCGUCCCCUUCCUAGCUGGACUCCAGGGCGGAGCAGAGGGAGGUGUCUAAGGGGGCCGUAGAGGGCUGACUCCCUGGUUAGUGUUGACCCAUUAUCCUCCCCCCACACCCCCAAGCCUCACCUUCAGGGACUCCUCCUCCUCCCUGUACACCGGCUCCAGCUUGGCCAGGUGCCCCAAGAACUCUGAGGCCACCAGGGGCCGCUUGGACAGCUGCAGGACCCGCCGCUCAGUCAGCACGGAGUGGAUGGCUUGGAGAAUGUGACCAGGGUCUCACCGAAGCGAGAAGCGUAAUCGGGCCGAGGCAUGAAGAGGAUCCGUUCGUAGGUCCGGCACAGCCCCUUCAUCUCCGCCAGCUGCGGCUGGUCACUCGUCCCUAUCAGCAUCACGCGGUCUCCUGGGCUCAGCAGUCGCAAGGCCUUGGUGAGAUCCUUCUUUAUUCGCUUUGGGUCCAUCUGCUCUGGGGCAGGGUGGGGGCGGGAACGUGGUGACUUGUAUGGGCUUCUGCAUUCUCUCGGAGCGCGUGUCCACACCCAGCCUCCAGUGGACCCCGGGAGGGAUCCAGGGAGGUGGCCAGGAGGCCCCUGUCCUGCUUCCAGGAUAAGCCCAAGGCAGCAGGAGAAGAGGGAAUUUGUCCAAGGCCCCACAGCGGGUGAGGUUUGGAGUUGACUUGAGCAAGCCCACGCCGGCCUUGCCCCUGGCUCCGGCUGCUACCCAGGUCCCGCACCUCCUUCUCUUCUUUUGGGACCCUCUUAUAGAAAUUCUUCUCGGCAUUCCCAAUCCAGAUCACAGAGGGCUGUAAGAGCCGAGCCACCUGGACAGGUCAGAGAAUAAAAACCUGACGUCGGAUGUCCCUGGGCAAGGGUCACCUCCCCCGUCUGGUCCAAAGGCUGACCUUGGAGCUCCGGUCCCCACUUCCCACGCAGCGUCCACCCCUUCUCUCAGCCUGCUGCCAUCCGCCACACCUCCCUAGGAACAGACUCACGCCCUCCCCGCCAUGUGGGGACCCUGCGUAUUAAGCCUCAUCAUAAAGAAAACCUAUCAUGAAAGAAACUGCUCUGCUCCCCACUGCCCGCCAUGCUCCCCAUCCACAAGGCUUCAGAAAUCCACAAGGUCCUCCCAGGGGUUGGUAAGGAGACCUCAGCAGCCCCAGACAUCACACCGAAUAGGCAGAUGAGGGAUCUCCUAAGUGUAAAGCACACCCUGCCCUGUGGGCACAGCCCGAGAACGAGAGGUGCUGAAGUCGGGGGACCCAGACCUUAAAGACGAUAUGCACGAUCAUCUGUGUCCCCGUCUUGCCAGGAUAUUUGCUCUGCAGGUUGCUGGGGGACAGGUCAAAGAGGUUGGCGCCCGUUUCUGUGCACACCGCCUUGACCAGCAUCUUCUUCCCCAUUCCAGAGGGGCCCACCAGGAGGAUCGAGCGGAUGAAGGGGGCCAUGGAGUGUAUAUCUGGGGAGCCUGAGAGAGGAAACAGGGGCCAGAGGAAGACAGUAGGACAGUAGGGGGGGGGGGUGGAAGCCACAGUGUAAGGUGAGGCUGAAGGCCCAAGGCAGGGUGGGAUGAAGUUUGGAUCCUAGGGGCCUGCCGACCCCCAGUGUGGGGGGCCCCAUCCCCAGGCAGGCCUGCUGAGAGAGGCAGCCUAGGGGGCUUCCAAGGACUUCCCAGGUACAAUUAUGAAGCGUUCUCUACAGGGUCAAAAGGGAGCCUUCUAGCCCCUUCCAACACCCUUUCUGUUUUCUGUACCAUCUCUUUCCACUUCUGGAUCAUGAAGGGGUGGAAUUAAAGGGCCUGGGGCCAACCGCUCCAGAAAGAUCCUGGUCUUCUGGGAAGGAGACAGACUAUGGGAUAUCACUUGGGGUUGGGAAAGGGGCCAGAAAAGUGGAUUCCUUGGUAGGCCAAGAGUCCACAUGAUUUCUGGGGUGGCCCAAUCUGGGUGUGACCUCCGGCAGGGCCUGGGGAAGACCGGAGGAGUCCAGCAGGGGCCCAUGGCACCGGGGACAUGCCCACCUCAACCGCCCUGACAGGCACCUCGGCUCCCCCACGAGCCACCUGCCAGUGUUGGUUCUCCCUGCUCCCCAGGGCAUCUUACCAAGGCGAAGGACCCCAUACAAGGCCACAUUCUGUCUUAUGUCAAACAAGGAAGGUGAAGGCGACUUGUUCGCCAGGUUCAGAACGGAUCCAAGAUAGAGGUAGUCACCUGGGGGCACAAGUGUGUGGCAUCUGCUGGCACAGGGCCGAAAGAGAGCCCCGCGGGGAGAAGGCUCCCAGCAGAGGGUGGUAGUUAGCCACAGGAGGGCCGUGGCCAGGGCACCGCUCCUCAGCCUGGGAGCAGGUGCUGGACAGGGGUCUCACCAAUGUAAUCUUUCAAGGCCACCGUCUCGCACUUCCUUAGAAAGCCGGAGACCACGAGCUCCUCAAACAGAGAGUCCACGGACCUGCAGAGGACAGUGCAGAGGGGUCCCCAAGGACGAAGGGAAGUGGAGACGGAGAUGAGUGACAGGCUUGAGGACAAAAAUACCCAGAGUGCCACUGGACAGCCAGCAUCAGAAGCCACAGUGCCAACCCGCUGGCCAGAACGCCAUCUGCCCACGGUGGGGCUCCGUGGGUUGAGCAGGGCGUGAGGAGGACACGCGCCCUCUGCAGCCCUCCCUCCAUCAGUCUGCUCAGGUCCCCAGGUCCCGCCAUCAGAAAUCCAGUCAUUUGGCCAACAUAUGACCAUUUUUCUAGAAAUCACACUUGACGUCUAGGCUCCUGGAAGCAGCUGACAUCAGUGUGCUCGAGACUCACUUCACCAAAGAAGUGAGUAGCCGGGGAGCUCCCCAAGGGCCCAGAGAGGUGUCGGGGGGAGAUGGCUUUGGUAGGGACAGAGCUGAUUAAGGCAAAAGGCUGGAGCGGGGGACGCCUGGGUGUCUCAGUUGGUUAAGCAGCUGCCUUCGGCUCAGGUCAUGAUCCCGGCGUCCUGGGAUCGAGUCCCACAUCGUGCUCCUUGCUCAGCAGGGAGUCUGCUUCUGCCUCUGCCUGCCAUUCUGUCUGCCUGCGCUCGCUCUCCCUCUUUCUCUCUGAUAAAUAAAUAAAAUCUUAAAAAAAAAAAAAAAAAGGCUGGAGGGGGGAGCAGGAGGGAGGGAGCCCCAAGGACAAGCCUCCACUCGCAUCCACCUGCCCACCAUCAUUUUCCAAGCACUGCUCUGUUUCAUCACCAGCUAUCUCGUGGGCUUGGCAGGGCGGGUGCUCGGUUAACGAGGACAGGGAGUCAGAGAGGUUCAGUGACUCUCUCCGGGUCACACAGAACAGAACGAGGACCGGAAGUCAGAUCAGUUCUGGGCCCGGGUUUGCUCCACCUCCCACGAUAAGGUAAAGGGUCUGCUACCUGUCUGGGGUCAGAUCUUUUUCCUUCUUCUUCUUCCCGGCUUUCUUCCCAGUCUUUUUCUGGUUGGAAACAAGCACACGGGCUGUCGUCCUCUGGUCCUUGCCUCCCCCCGCUGUGUGCGCGUCCGGGUCCCGGCCUUCACCCCUCAUCUUGCCUUCGCACGCUUCAAGGGUGUCCCCUCCUCCCUGUCCACGACCAGGCGCAGGCUCUUCAGCUCUUGGCGCAUCAGCUCGUCCACCUGGGGGGACAGCAGAGAGUGCUGUCCCUGUCCCUGCACCGGUCCACUCCCAAUACUAAUCCAUACCCCGGUCACGCAGGAGCCUUGCCCUCACCUGGCACCAAUGUGGGGAGAAGCUCCUAGCUAGAGUCAAUGGCUUUCAGCUCAAGCCCCAGACCCACCCUUUAAAGUCUGUGCCAUGUGAGCUGCUGCCGGACUUAAUUAGCCUGUUGUCUCACAUCGGGACAAUCACGGCGCCCACCUCAGGGGGUGGAAAGGCCAUAUUGGAAAGGUCACAUGAUCUAAUUCUUCCUAGGUACACCCUGCGGCCACAGGGCAGGAGCUUUUGAAGGGUUGAUGGGCACAAUGGUGGGUGUGACCCCAGCCCAGAGCCCCUCCGCACCCCAGGGAGAGAGGGACCAGAGAGACGCAGAGGAGGAAGGGGACCGAGAUGGACGAAGGUGGAGUUAGAAUGACACAGAAGGCGGGACAGACGGACAGAAGAAUGAUGUUCAGAGUCCCAGGGCACCCACACACUCACAGAAACCUGGCAGAGGAACCUGACCCAGGCUGGUCCACGUGUCUCUUGCUCCGUCUCUGCACCUGUCUGUCUGUCUCAUACACAUGCCUACAUGGACCAGGAACCUGACCCAGGCUGGUCCCUUCAUCUUCACAGGGCUGUCCAGCAUUGCUUCUACCUAGAUCAUGGAGGCCUGACCCCAAGGCCAAAGGCAAAACUCCCCCCACCCAGGGAAUCGCAUGGCACCCCACGCUUGCGUCCUCCUUUGGCAUUCUUCUCUCGACCUCCACAUCCGCACACCCACACUACCUCUCAUCGUCCACAGAGCAUGUGUUCACUUUCCCCAGGACCCUGGGUCACCCCAAGGCCCUCACAGGGCCUGGACAAUCUUCCCCAGCCUGCUCCUGCCUUACUUAUGUACUCCUCAUGGCCGGCAUUGAUGACAGGUAUAAACUUGGAUGGCCCCACUUUCAGCAUCGUGUCUGCUUCCUAGAAAAGAAACAUCCUUUGACCUCAACCCCCUCAUGGUCCCUGCCCCUUCCUCCCCUCAGACCAGCCUCCCACCGGGAAUCUCCUCAGACCAAGAGGAACUUUACCCCCUUCCUGGUCUUGUCUUUCUUUCCUUUCUUCUGCUUCCUCUCUUUUUUCUCCUUAUUUUUCUCUUGGUCCUUUCUUUUGCUCUCCUGGAUCUCUGUCUCCAGUUCCAUUUUUACCUGUGACCAAUGAUGGAAGACAUUUCAGAGAAGACCAGUGGGAUUCUACAGGAGCAAAAGAACCCAGGUCUGAGAUGGGGGUUGACGGGGGUCACUCGCGGGGUCCAGGGGUCGAGGGAUCCAUAGC
Mustela lutreola (European mink) is the source of this 6114-nucleotide long non-coding RNA. RefSeq lists it as uncharacterized. The record is from RefSeq and is a predicted model, not a curated record. The transcript is spliced from 6 exons. NCBI's taxonomy places the organism in Eukaryota, Metazoa, Chordata, Mammalia, Carnivora, Mustelidae.